AUUGAACGCUGGCGGAAUGCUUUACACAUGCAAGUCGAACGGCAGCACGGGUGCUUGCACCUGGUGGCGAGUGGCGAACGGGUGAGUAAUACAUCGGAACGUACCCAGUCGUGGGGGAUAACGUAGCGAAAGUUACGCUAAUACCGCAUACGUCCUGAGGGAGAAAGCGGGGGACCGUAAGGCCUCGCGCGAUUGGAGCGGCCGAUGGCGAACUAGCUAGUUGGUGGGGUAAAGGCCUACCAAGGCGACGAUCCGUAGCGGGUCUGAGAGGACGGCCCGCCAAAGUGGAACUGAGAAACGGUCCAGACUCCAACGGGAGGCGGCAGUGGGGAAUUUUGGACAAUGGGCGAAAGCCUGAUCCAGCCAUUCCGCGUGAGUGAAGAAGGCCUCCGGGUUGUAAAGCUCUUUCGGCAGGGAAGAAACGGCUUGGGAUAAUACCCCGGGCUAAUGACGGUACCUGAAGAAGAAGCACCGGCUAACUACGUGCCAGCAGCCGCCGUAA
This 502-nucleotide ribosomal RNA is filed under the name uncultured bacterium. RNAcentral's name for it is "partial 16S ribosomal RNA". It matches the Rfam family "Bacterial small subunit ribosomal RNA", at positions 29 to 523 of the family's 1533-position model. The record is from RNAcentral.